Molecule: ribosomal RNA, 120 nt
Filed under: uncultured bacterium
Lineage: Bacteria
Description: partial 16S ribosomal RNA
Rfam family: Bacterial small subunit ribosomal RNA
Source: RNAcentral
GACGAACGCUGGCGGCGUGCUUAACACAUGCAAGUCAGGGGGUGGGGCAACCCAUCACCGGCGAACGGGUGCGUAACACGUGAGCGACCUGCCCUGGUGUGGGGGAUAGCCGGCCCAACG